This 2357-nucleotide long non-coding RNA is filed under the name Homo sapiens (human). RNAcentral describes it as "HSALNT0325718". Lineage: Eukaryota; Metazoa; Chordata; Mammalia; Primates; Hominidae. The record is from RNAcentral.
AUACAUUUUAUAGUGAAACAAAAUGCAAAUACAUCUCAGAAUUUAUUCUGCCAUCAUAUUUUUGAAAGUAACACUGUUAUUAUUACUUUGAAAUUAGACAUGUAUGUUGAAUAUAGAUAGAUGUUGAUGUAACAAAUAGGUAAUUACGCUAAAGUUAGAUUUUUCAGUAUAAAAGAAUAAGGAAAUGCAAAUUCAAAAUCAAAAAAAUUUUAUAACCAUUUAAAAUAAUAAACAUGAAUUUUAAAUAUCAAUGUAAGUUUAUGAAUUUUAAAUCCACCUUAUUUCUGUCAGUGAAAUGGAAGUAUGAACAUAUGAACUAAGCAGCCAAGAUGACCAAGCUUAAUGUCGUCCCAUGACAAGUCCCAUGUAUCAACGCUGGCCUAGCUACUGUGCCUGUGAGAAUUCAACCUGUCAUGACAGAUUGAUGUUGAGCUCUGGGUAAGGUAUGCGCUAUUGCUUACAGAGACCAACAAGUCACUUGGUGACAAAUUAAGCAGCAUGUGUGUGGGCUGCUCUUCUACUUUGCCCCUAGCAAGGCCGUACACUAUUAACCGUCUUCACAAAUCUUUGUCAGUUAGGCCCGUUGUCUUGCCCUUUGACCUUGCCAGUCUUAACAGUAGUUGCAGCCUCCUGGCAGUUAAGUGCUGACUCCUGACCUCUAUCACGUUGGGGUCCGUCCCAUCAUCCAGCUUUGUGGCUGCCCCUCCUAUGUCAGCCCUGGUCUGCAGAGAAAAACUUCUUCUUGAUGUCAGUGUCCCCUCGCCUCAUGGUCUUGGUGAAUGAUGAGCCUUCUGGUCUUUCCCAUGGUUUGGGACUACAUGUGCAGUUUUGUUAUAUAGGUAAGCUCUGUCAUGGGGGUCUGCUGUACAGAUUAUUUCAUCAAGAGGUGACUUGGCUGCUGUUAAAGGCAUUCAGUCUCAUAAGAGAAGCAGAGCACAAAAGUUUGGAAAAUUUGCAGCCUGCCAAUUUUAUAGAAAAUAAUAUUCCAUUUUCUGAGGAGAAAUUCAAGCCAGCUGCAGAAAUGUGCAUAAAUAAUGAGAAGUCAAAUGUUAAUUCCUAAGACAAUGCGGAAAAUGUCUCCAGGGCACGUCAGAGGUUUUCACAGCAGCCCCUCUCAUCACAGGCCCAGAGGCCUAGGAGGAAAAAAAAAUGGUUUUGUUGCCUGGGCCAAGGGUCCCUGUGCUGUGUGCAGCCUAGAGACUUGGUGCCCUGAGUUCCAGCCACUCCUGCUGUGGCUGAAAGUGGCCAAUGUAGAGUUCAGGCCAUGGCUUCAGAGGGUGCAAACUCAAAGCCUUGGCAGCUUCCGUGUGGUAUUGAGCCUGUGAGUGCACAGAAGCCAGGAAUCAGGGUUUGGGAACCUCCACUUAGGUUUCAGAUUUAUAGAAAUGCCUGGAUGCCCAGGCAGAAGUUUGCUACAGGGGCAGGGCCCUAAUGGAGAACGUCUGCUAGGGCAGUGCAGAAGAGAAAUGUGGGGUCAAAGCCCCCACACAGAGUCCCUACUGGGGCACUGCCUAGUGGAGCUGUGAGAAGAGGGCAACCAUCCUCCAGACCAGACUGGUAGAUGCACUGACAGCUUGCACCAUUCACCUGGAAAAGCCACAGACACUCAAAGCCAGCCCAUGAAAGCAGCUGGGAGAGAGGCUGUACCCUGAAGAGCCACAGGGCUGGAACUACCCAAGACCAUGGGAACCCACCUCUUGCAUCAGCAUGACUUGGAUGUGAGAAAUGGAGUCAAAGGAGAUCAUUUUGCAGCUUUAAGAUUUGACUGCUCUGCUGGAUUUUGGACUUGAAUGGGGCCUGUAGCCCCUUUGCUUUGGCCAAUUUCUCCCAUUUGGAAUGACUGUAUUUACCCAAUGCCUGCACCCACAUUGUGUCUAGGAAGUAACUAACCUGCUUUUGAUUUUACAGGCUCAUAGGUGGAAGAGACUUGCCUUGUCUCAGAUGAGACGUUGGACUAUGGACUUUUGAGUUAAUGCUAAAAUUAGUUAAAAUUUUGAGGAACUGUUGGGAAAGCAUGAUUAGUUUUGAAAUGUGAGGACAUGAGAUUUUGGAACGGCCAGGACUGAAAUUAUAUGGUUUGGCUGUGGACCCAUGCAAAUCUUCUCUUGAAUUGUACCUCCCACAAUUCCCAUGUGUUGUGGGAGGAACCCGGUGGAAGGUGAUUGAAUUAUGGAGGUGGGUCUUUUCUGUGCUAUUCUCGUGAUGGUGAAUGAGUCUCACAAGAUCUGACAGUUUUAAAAAUGAGAGUUUCCCCACACAAGCUCUCUUUUUGCCUACUGCCCUCCAUGUAAUACAUGACUUGCUCCUCCUUGCCUUCCACCAUGAUUGCAAGGCCUCCAUGUGAAACUGUAACUCCA